GACGAACGCUGGCGGCGUGCUUAACACAUGCAAGUCGAACGGAAAGGCCUGCUUUCCCUUGUGGAUUGCGGGUACUCGAGUGGCGAACGGGUGAGUAACACGUGAGUGAUCUGCCCCCAACUUGGGUAUAAGCCUGGGAAACUGGGUCUAAUUCCCGAUAGGACUGCAGGGUGGUGCCUGUGGUGGAAAACGAUUUUCUAGUGGUUGGGGAUGAGCUCGCGGCCUAUCAGCUUGUUGGUGGGGUAAUGGCCUACCAGGGCGGCGACGGGUAGCCGGCCUGAGAGGGUGGACGGCCACAUUGGGACUGAGAUACGGCCCAGACUCCUACGGGAGGCAGCAGUGGGGAAUAUUGCACAAUGGGCGGAAGCCUGAUGCAGCGACGCCGCGUGGGGGAUGACGGCCUUCGGGUUGUAAACUCCUUUCGACCGCGAGGAAGCCACCUGGUUGGAAGGGUGGUGACGGUAGUGGUAGAAGAAGCACCGGCUAACUACG
RNAcentral lists this ribosomal RNA (492 nucleotides) under uncultured bacterium. Its description in RNAcentral is "partial 16S ribosomal RNA". It matches the Rfam family "Bacterial small subunit ribosomal RNA", at positions 28 to 505 of the family's 1533-position model. The record is from RNAcentral.